AACGAACGCUGGCGGCAUGCCUAACACAUGCAAGUCGAACGGGAUCCUAGCUUGCGUAGGUGAGAGUGGCGGACGGGUGAGUAACACGUGGGAAUCUGCCUUUUGGUUCGGGAUAACCGCGGGAAACUGCGGCUAAUACCGAAUGCCCUCGAGAGAGGAAAGAUUUAUCGACCAGGAAAGAGGAGCCCGCGUCCGAUUAGGUAGUUGGUGGGGUAAAAGGCCUACCAAGCCGACGAUCGGUAGCUGGUCUGAGAGGAUGAUCAGCCACACUGGGACUGAGAUACGGCCCAGACUCCUACGGGAGGCAGCAGUGGGAAUAUUGGACAAUGGGGCAA
Molecule: ribosomal RNA, 335 nt
Filed under: uncultured bacterium
Lineage: Bacteria
Description: bacterial SSU rRNA
Rfam family: Bacterial small subunit ribosomal RNA
Source: RNAcentral